RNAcentral lists this transfer RNA (73 nucleotides) under Caudoviricetes sp. RNAcentral's name for it is "tRNA-Phe". It matches the Rfam family "tRNA". Rfam says of the family: Transfer RNA (tRNA) molecules are approximately 80 nucleotides in length. Lineage: Duplodnaviria; Heunggongvirae; Uroviricota; Caudoviricetes. The record is from RNAcentral.
GGUUCUGUAGCUCAGUCGGUAGAGCAGGGGACUGAAAAUCCCCGUGUCGCCUGUUCAAUUCAGGUCGGAACCA